This 552-nucleotide long non-coding RNA is filed under the name Sorghum bicolor (sorghum). Its description in RNAcentral is "long non-coding RNA (SBIC_LNC016522)". Lineage: Eukaryota; Viridiplantae; Streptophyta; Magnoliopsida; Poales; Poaceae. The record is from RNAcentral.
UGGGUUUUAUGCCAUGAGCAUACUCACAUGGGGCUUACUAUUUUUUAACAUUUUUAUUUUCUUUUCAAGAUAGCAUGAACCUGAUUAACUAAGCAAACUAUUGAAUGGAAAAGGAUAACUACCAAGUUUACCUCUUGGCAAGGCGUUCGGUAUAACGGGACUCUCCGUUUUCUCAGUCGUCCUGGGAUUCGCUGGAUGGCGUAGUCGGUGGUUCCGGCGGCGCCUCCUCUUCGUGUGUAACUAUCUUCUCUCUCCACACCUGACUCGGUGCUACGGUCUCCUCAGGACAGUUCUGUUCAAGCUAUAUGUCUUCAGACCUUAUCACUUCUCCUUCGUAAUCUACCCAUUCGUCUUUGAUGAUUUGCCUCCUCUGGUUGCGGUUGCGUUGUCUUCUUCUUGUCCUGACCUGCUUAGAGUCUUCAACUAUAUAGUUAGGGUCAGUAAAAUAGCGGUGUACCUUCUCAGAGGAGAAGUGUAUGUGGACUUCUCUGAUUCCAAUAUAGAUGAUGGCUUUGAUAGUGUUGAGAAACGGUCUUCCAAGGAUGAUGGGUG